RNAcentral lists this ribosomal RNA (487 nucleotides) under uncultured bacterium. Its description in RNAcentral is "partial 16S ribosomal RNA". It matches the Rfam family "Bacterial small subunit ribosomal RNA", at positions 30 to 504 of the family's 1533-position model. The record is from RNAcentral.
AUUGAACGCUGGCGGCAGGCCUAACACAUGCAAGUCGAACGGUAACAGGAAACAGCUUGCUGUUUCGCUGACGAGUGGCGGACGGGUGAGUAAUGUCUGGGAAACUGCCUGAUGGAGGGGGAUAACUACUGGAAACGGUAGCUAAUACCGCAUAACGUCGCAAGACCAAAGAGGGGGACCCUCGGGCCUCUUGCCAUCGGAUGUGCCCAGAUGGGAUUAGCUUGUUGGUGGGGUAACGGCUCACCAAGGCGACGAUCCCUAGCUGGUCUGAGAGGAUGACCAGCCACACUGGAACUGAGACACGGUCCAGACUCCUACGGGAGGCAGCAGUGGGGAAUAUUGCACAAUGGGCGCAAGCCUGAUGCAGCCAUGCCGCGUGUAUGAAGAAGGCCUUCGGGUUGUAAAGUACUUUCAGCGGGGAGGAAGGGAGUAAAGUUAAUACCUUUGCUCAUUGACGUUACCCGCAGAAGAAGCACCGGCUAACUCC